This is a long non-coding RNA of Anastrepha ludens (Mexican fruit fly), 1828 nucleotides long. RefSeq lists it as uncharacterized. The transcript has 3 exons. NCBI's taxonomy places the organism in Eukaryota, Metazoa, Arthropoda, Insecta, Diptera, Tephritidae. The record is from RefSeq and is a predicted model, not a curated record.
CUUCGCGGCAUGACGCUCUAUUUUCUGGUCUUUUAGUCGUUUGUCCAAGAAUUGCAAGAAUGAUAGAAUGAUAGUCUCUCUCUGGAGUUGUACGGAUACGGAUAUUUAAUUGAUUAAUUGUUUAGCGGCGGAUGUAACGCUGUUUGUUAUUGUGUACCGAUUGAGUUUUUUUUGUGUUGGUAAUGUGUGCAGCUUCUUCGUCACUUUAAAAAAUUAAAAUUUAUAAAUGAAUUUAAAAAUGAAUAUGUGAAUAUGCGAGACUAUUUUGGUAUUAAUGCCAUACCCAAAUAGUGGUGUGUUAAAGAAGUUGCUGUUUUAUAUAGAAAGUUAUAAAAAUUCUGCGAGGAAAUAUACAUAUGUGUGUGCAAAGUAAAAAUACGAAGCGAAUAAAGUGGAAAGCAUAAAAAUUAGAACUGAUUGGUAGCGGUGUGAAAAAUGAAUAAAAUCAUCCCGUAGUAAGAAUAAAAAAAAGAAUAAAAAUUGAAAAUCCUUCGUAAAAAAUUUGUAUGUACGUAAACAAGUAUCUGAAUAUUCCAACUGCUCGAAGGUUCUGAAAGAAUAUUUUGUGGUAUGUCCAGUGGCGACCGGUUUCAAUACGCAACUCGUUACUUCUGCUACUACUAGAGUCACGACGAUGAAACUAAAAUAAAACAGGCUUUAAUUUGAAAUUUCGGCUGAAGUAAUUUGUUAUGUGAAAUAUUAACUAAUUAAAGUUUAUAUAAUUGUAAAUUCACGUAAAAAACAUGCAUAUAUAUUAAAGUAAUAAUCGCAGUGCCAACAAAUGAAUGUGCGUAUGUUUCGUAAAGAAUAAAGCGCUUUGUGGCGCCUAUAAAUGCGCGCCAAAAGUAUAAAAUCACACAUUAAUAAAAAUUAUUUGAAAUACCUAAAAAAUUAAUGUACAUGUACGUGCAAUCAGCUCUGUCAAAUAUAAUGGCUCUGUUUGGGGUGAUUUGGCUGCUGCUAGUAGUGGAUGCAAAAGGUGCAGCAACUAGAGUCGGCAUAGCACAUAGAAGCCCAUCAACAACAUCUGAACCGGAAAUACGCACAAGGAUUUUUAACGAAAAACAUUGAUUUACAUUUCCCUUUUUGGAAUAUCGCUUGGACUUGAACCUCGAGAUAGAUGCUAAAAUUAACAUCUAUAGAUUCUGAAGAACAUUCAAAUAAGCUACAUAAUGAAAAGAUAUAAAACAACAUAAUGAAAAAAUAUAGCCACCGAAAAUUUAAAUACAUAUGUAGUUCAAAUCAAUUGAAAACAAUCAAACAAAUUGAAAUACGCUGCGACGAUGAAAUACCAAAUGAUGGAAAAGGUUUGUUCUUAAACCGGUUACUGCUUGGCAGGCAUUGGCAAAGUUCUGAGUGUAUAUCUGUCAUAAAAAGUUUCUCAUAAAAAACUAUCCGCCGGUCGGAGUAAAACUGUUGAUUCUUUCAUUUGUAGAAAAACAAGCAAAGAAAAUGAGUAGAUAUUCGAAAAGUGAUUGAAUUGAAAAUUAAACAAAUCCAAUAUUUCUCUCCCGUAGUGUAUAGUGUGAGCAUUUGAUGAUAUGAAGUUGCCCAAAAGUGCUAGAAGCUUACAUUUCCUAUCUGACACAUCUUUCCCUUCUAAAAUAAAAAAAAAACAGAGUAUUUAAUAUCCAGCUGCAAGUAAAUCAGCUCCAUGGAUUCACAGCGUACAUACUCGUAAGCCCAAAGCGGGUAUCAAUCAAAAUGACAAGUUCGAAGAGGGGUGCAUUUUUAUUGGAAUCGCAGAGAUUUCAACGAGUUGCUCAUUAUUAUCAGCCGCUGCCUGAGGGAGUAUUGUCACAUACUGCAUAUUUAUGCAUUUAUGGAA